This 472-nucleotide ribosomal RNA is filed under the name uncultured bacterium. RNAcentral describes it as "bacterial SSU rRNA". It matches the Rfam family "Bacterial small subunit ribosomal RNA", at positions 30 to 498 of the family's 1533-position model. The record is from RNAcentral.
AUUGAACGCUGGCGGCAGGCCUAACACAUGCAAGUCGAACGGUAACAGGAUGUGCUUGCACAUCGCUGACGAGUGGCGGACGGGUGAGUAAUGCUUGGGAACAUGCCUUUGUGAGGGGAUAACAGUUGGAAACGACUGCUAAUACCGCAUAACGUCUUUGGACCAAAGGGGGCUUUUAGCUCUCGCGCAAAGAGUGGCCCAAGUGAGAUUAGCUAGUUGGUGAGGUAAAGGCUCACCAAGGCGACGAUCUCUAGCUGUUCUGAGAGGAAGAUCAGCCACACUGGGACUGAGACACGGCCCAGACUCCUACGGGAGGCAGCAGUGGGGAAUAUUGCACAAUGGGGGAAACCCUGAUGCAGCCAUGCCGCGUGUGUGAAGAAGGCCUUCGGGUUGUAAAGCACUUUCAGUCAGGAGGAAGGUUAGUAGUUAAUACCUGCUAGCUGUGACGUUACUGACAGAAGAAGCACCGGCU